This 435-nucleotide ribosomal RNA is filed under the name uncultured bacterium. Its description in RNAcentral is "partial 16S ribosomal RNA". It matches the Rfam family "Bacterial small subunit ribosomal RNA", at positions 29 to 507 of the family's 1533-position model. The record is from RNAcentral.
AGCGAACGCUGGCGGCAGGCUUAACACAUGCAAGUCGAACGGGCAUAGCAAUAUUUCAGUGGCAGACGGGUGAGUAACGCGUGGGAACGUACCUUUUGGUUCGGAACAACACAGGGAAACUUGUGCUAAUACCGGAUACGCCCUUACGGGGAAAGAUGUAUCGCCGAAAAAUCGGGCCGCGUCUGAUUACCUAUUUGGUAGGGUAAUCGCCUACCAAGGCGACGAUGAGGAUCUGGUCUGAGCGGAUGAUCGACAACGUUGGAACUAAGACACGGACCAAAAUGGGAGGCAGGGGAGCAGAAGAGAAUAUUAGAGGAGGAACGAUAGCGUAGUAAAGCCAUGCGGGGGAAGUGAGGAAGGGGCUAGUGUAGUAAAGCUGUUUUGUGCGAGAAGAUAAUGACGGUACCGCAAGAAGAAGCCCCGGCUAACUUCGUG